RNAcentral lists this ribosomal RNA (580 nucleotides) under uncultured bacterium. RNAcentral's name for it is "partial 16S ribosomal RNA". It matches the Rfam family "Bacterial small subunit ribosomal RNA", at positions 355 to 932 of the family's 1533-position model. The record is from RNAcentral.
UGGGGAAUUUUGGACAAUGGGCGAAAGCCUGAUCCAGCAAUGCCGCGUGUGUGAAGAAGGCCUUCGGGUUGUAAAGCACUUUUGUCCGGAAAGAAAUCCUUGGCUCUAAUACAGUCGGGGGAUGACGGUACCGGAAGAAUAAGCACCGGCUAACUACGUGCCAGCAGCCGCGGUAAUACGUAGGGUGCAAGCGUUAAUCGGAAUUACUGGGCGUAAAGCGUGCGCAGGCGGUUUGCUAAGACCGAUGUGAAAUCCCCGGGCUCAACCUGGGAACUGCAUUGGUGACUGGCAGGCUAGAGUAUGGCAGAGGGGGGUAGAAUUCCACGUGUAGCAGUGAAAUGCGUAGAGAUGUGGAGGAAUACCGAUGGCGAAGGCAGCCCCCUGGGCCAAUACUGACGCUCAUGCACGAAAGCGUGGGGAGCGAACAGGAUUAGAUACCCUGGUAGUCCACGCCCUAAAACGAUGUCAACUAGUUGUUGGGGAUUCAUUUCCUUAGUAACGUAGCUAACGCGUGAAGUUGACCGCCUGGGGAGUACGGUCGCAAGAUUAAAACUUAAAUGAAUUGACGGGGUCAUAGCUG